AAGUUCCUCUCCUUUUAGAUGUGCAUUCCCGAUCUUUUUAGUCUCUUGAAUAUUCGAUUUAGAGUUAAGAGGUGUCUAUGCCACUAACCAACUCCUUAAAGAAAUACAAGAGCUUCUCCGGCAAACCACUAGAAGUACCCAUCGAGUCGAGCAAUUGGAUGCUAAGAAAGGUUUCUUUCUGGGCUAAAUUCAAAGCCUAUAGACUGAAUUAGGAGAGCAGAGGUUUAAUCCAAAACCAGGAAAGCAAGCUAUAUC
RNAcentral lists this long non-coding RNA (255 nucleotides) under Trifolium pratense (red clover). Its description in RNAcentral is "long non-coding RNA (TPRA_LNC007682)". Lineage: Eukaryota; Viridiplantae; Streptophyta; Magnoliopsida; Fabales; Fabaceae. The record is from RNAcentral.